AGCAGCCGCGGUAAUACAAAGGAUGCAAGCAUUAUCCGGAAUGAUUGGGCGUAAAGCGUCUGUAGGUGGCUUUUCAAGUCCGCCGUCAAAUCCCAGGGCUCAACCCUGGACAGGCGGUGGAAACUACCAAGCUAGAGUAUAGUAGGGGCAGAGGGAAUUUCCGGUGGAGCGGUGAAAUGCAUUGAGAUCGGAAAGAACACCAACGGCGAAAGCACUCUGCUGGGCCGACACUGACACUAAGAGACGAAAGCUAGGGGAGCAAAUGGGAUUAGAGACCCCAGUAGUCCCUGUAUCUUAUACA
Molecule: ribosomal RNA, 301 nt
Filed under: uncultured bacterium
Lineage: Bacteria
Description: partial 16S ribosomal RNA
Rfam family: Bacterial small subunit ribosomal RNA
Source: RNAcentral